UGGGGAAUAUUGGACAAUGGGGGGAACCCUGAUCCAGCCAUGCCGCGUGUGUGAAGAAGGCCUUAUGGUUGUAAAGCACUUUAAGCGAGGAGGAGGGUACUGGUAUUAAUACUACCAGGUACUGGACGUUACUCGCAGAAUAAGCACCGGCUAACUCUGUGCCAGCAGCCGCGGUAAUACAGAGGGUGCGAGCGUUAAUCGGAUUUACUGGGCGUAAAGCGUGCGUAGGCGGCUAAUUGAGUCGGAUGUGAAAUCCCCGAGCUUAACUUGGGAAUUGCAUUCGAUACUGGUUAGCUAGAGUGUGGGAGAGAGUGGUAGAAUUCCAGGUGUAGCGGUGAAAUGCGUAGAUAUAGGAAGGAACACCAGUGGCGAAGGCGACCACCUGGGCUCAUACUGCCACUGAGGUGCGAAAGCGUGGGGAGCAAACAGG
RNAcentral lists this ribosomal RNA (430 nucleotides) under Pseudomonadota bacterium. RNAcentral describes it as "Proteobacteria bacterium partial 16S ribosomal RNA". It matches the Rfam family "Bacterial small subunit ribosomal RNA", at positions 355 to 776 of the family's 1533-position model. Lineage: Bacteria; Pseudomonadati; Pseudomonadota. The record is from RNAcentral.